GCUGACAAAACCACACUGCCUCUAAUUGGCUCCACUACAAAUAUUUACAGCUGUGAAAAGGAGUUUGCUGAUCCCAUGACUGUAGCCAUGGUUGCCUAUCUUUUUAGCUGCUGUUGUGCUGGUGAGAAACAUGAAUAGGUUGCAAGAAUCCCUCACUGGCUUUGUAGCAGGAACAUUUGCUGACCCAAAUGUAGAAGCCAAUUAAGCUCUAAAGCGUCUGUGUGUUUUUCUGAUUGAAUGUGUACUUACUUCUCCUGUUGGGAGGAAGGGAAGAAGGUGGAGCCAGGCUCUUCCCAGUGGUGUUCAGUGACAGGACAAAAGGUAAAAUGUGGGCUGCUGCAUUGUGCUGGUGUCCGUUCCCCCUUUCCCAGGCACUUCGUGAAAGCAGCUCAUGAAUGCACAGUGAAUUAUUUACACAGUUUACUUCCAGCAGAGCUCCAGAAGUUUCUUGUGAGGUGUAUUUGCGUGUUCUGUGUGAGGAACAUCCCAUCUGUCUGCUAAAGAAAACUCUGUGACUGGGCAAUUGAAACUAAAACCUGUUGUGGGUCUUCAGAAAGCAGAGAGAAAAAGCUUUUGAAAAGCCAAUGCCAAGUGGAGGCAUUCCUCAGCAGCACAGAGAGGCCUUUGCAACAGAGCCUUGCUUCCUGCAGCGAGGCAAUCCUGGGAACCAGGGAAAAGGAGAACGACUCACAAACCACAGGAGAGAAAUCAAUACAGGAGAGGCAGCGUGGGGAAAACCAACAGCAAAUUUCUUCUGACUCAGUUGUCUGAGCAAAGCCAACAACAACAUUAUUGGAAAGGCAGGAUGGUGUAUGAACGGUUCAUGGAGAGGUGGGAUUUUCCAAGUUGUGGAAGGAAAAUGCUGCCUGCAGCUGAAUUUCUACAAACCCACAUUUAAAAAAAAAAAAUUAAAAAAAAAAUAUUAUGCUGGUAGGAGAAGGCAGAGCCAGGUCCUGGGCUUUUUAGAAUAUAUAAUUUUUAGGAUGAGACCCUAUACAACUAUAGCAAACAGAUCCAAAUACCCAUUUUUAAGAAAAUUUUAAAAUAUUCCUGUGUCUGUAAAUACUUUUUCAGGUGCAGUUUUUCCUUCUGCACUCACAGGGGAAACAGCUAAUUAUGCUUAUUACCAUAUUUUACAAAAUUUGUUGGAUUAUACCCUUUCCUGACCCGGAGCUGGGGCAACUGAGAGGCGUUUUAAAAAACUUUUAUUCCAUUUUCAGUCUCAUGUGAAGGGUGAGAUGAUACAGAUGUUAUCAUUCACACCAUCACAAUCAGAAGCAAAUUAUUUCCUAAUUACAAUACAUUGUAAGCAUUUCUUGGCCUAUCAGCUUUAGCCACACCAUGCUGUAAAUGCCUCAAAGCCAGUCAUCUCAAAUUACCCCUUGUGAGUCCUGCUACAAUAUAUUUUUCAUUUUCUCUAUUUUCUCUAGUUCUAUUUCUCUAAAAUAUCUAAUCUUAUUUUCAAAGCUAUCCUCUAAAACUUGUUUCUAAUUCAAUUUUACUCUCAACAAUGUCCAUCCUCUUCCAUAACAUUUCUAAGUCAAUAUUUCUUAUCUCAAAAUUUGCAUACAAAUACACAUUAUGUAAACCUUCUGUCAAAUCUUAAAAAUUUUCUUUAAAUUGAUUUCCCACAGAUGAGACACUUAAAAACAGUUGUCAUGCAGUAUGAACACUAUAUUAGGAUAGAAACAAUGAUGUAAAACAAGUCUUGAUCUUAUCUUGGAUACGUCCCCUUCUGUGCCCAGAGCUGGUGUUGGAAGUUUUGUUGCAGAGCUCUGCACAGAUGUGGGGUAAUUAUUUCAUUUGUGAAUCUUUCAGUCUCAUCCUUCAGACUAAUCAUCUCCCCAGCUAUUUAUAGACUUCAGCUGCCAACUGGAAAACCAGCAAAGAUGGGAAAGGGAGAGAAAAAACAUCUUUUCUUAAGUUCCUGUGGGCUGCAGCUGAAUGCUUUAACUGAUCCUGAAGCAGAGGUAGCUGUUCCCUUGAGGCACAGUUUUCUUGCCAAAAAAGAGCUUGUGGUGACACCACAAUAAUCCCCACUCCAAAAUGCAAUUUUGAAGUUAUCCUUCCUUUAGUAUUGUAUGUUUCCUUAUUCUUUUUUCAUUUAAGGACAAUGUGCGAUCUGAAAAGAAUCACACAGAGGAGCAGUAAUUAAAGAAUUUUCCUCCAUCAUAGCAGUUGAUGGGAAAAUGCAAACAUAAAGAUGUUUUUUUGAUGAUGUUUCAUGACUACACAUUGUGUUUGCCAGGAAGGCAAUGGGAUUCAUGCAGAAGUGCUACAUCAAAAUGCCUUUGUGCAUAUGUGUGACCGUGUUCACAGGGCUCUAAGGAUGAGGGAAGAGACGAG
Zonotrichia leucophrys gambelii is the source of this 2346-nucleotide long non-coding RNA. RefSeq lists it as uncharacterized. The record is from RefSeq and is a predicted model, not a curated record. NCBI's taxonomy places the organism in Eukaryota, Metazoa, Chordata, Aves, Passeriformes, Passerellidae. The transcript is spliced from 5 exons.